GAUGAACGCUGGCGGCGUGCCUAAUACAUGCAAGUCGAGCGAACAGACGAGGAGCUUGCUCCUUCGACGUUAGCGGCGGACGGGUGAGUAACACGUAGGUAACCUACCUAUAAGACUGGGAUAACUUCGGGAAACCGGAGCUAAUACCGGAUAAUAUUUCGAACCGCAUGGUUCGAUAGUGAAAGAUGGCUUUGCUAUCACUUAUAGCUGGACCUGCGCCGUAUUAGUUAGUUGGUAAGGUAACGGCUUACCAAGGCAACGAUACCUAGCCGACCUGAGAGGGUGAUCGACCACACUGGAACUGAGACACGGUCCAGACUCCUACGGGAGGCAACAGUAGGGAAUCUUCCGCAAUGGGCGAAAGCCUGACGGAGCAACGCCGCGUGAGUGAUGAAGGUCUUCGGAUCGUAAAACUCUGUUAUUAGGGAAGAACAAACGUGUAAGUAACUGUGCACGUCUUGACGGUACCUAAUCAGAAAGCCACGGCUAACUACGUG
This 497-nucleotide ribosomal RNA is filed under the name uncultured bacterium. RNAcentral's name for it is "partial 16S ribosomal RNA". It matches the Rfam family "Bacterial small subunit ribosomal RNA", at positions 28 to 507 of the family's 1533-position model. The record is from RNAcentral.